AGUAAUGCUUGGGAAUCUAGCUUAUGGAGGGGGAUAACUACGGGAAACUGUAGCUAAUACCGCGUAAUAUCGGAAGAUUAAAGUGUGGGACCUUCGGGCCACAUGCCAUAGGAUGAGCCCAAGUGGGAUUAGGUAGUUGGUGAGGUAAAGGCUCACCAAGCCGACGAUCUCUAGCUGGUCUGAGAGGAUGACCAGCCGCACUGGGACUGAGACACGGCCCAG
Molecule: ribosomal RNA, 222 nt
Filed under: uncultured bacterium
Lineage: Bacteria
Description: partial 16S ribosomal RNA
Rfam family: Bacterial small subunit ribosomal RNA
Source: RNAcentral